CGUGUAGGCGGAUCGGUAAGUCUACUCUGAAAGCUCCUGGCUAAACUGGGAGAGGCGAGUGGAGACUGUCGGUCUAGAGUGAGGAAGAGGAAAGUGGAAUUCCGCGUGUAGUGGUGAAAUGCGUAGAGAUGCGGAGGAACACCAGUGGCGAAAGCGGCUUUCUGGUCCUUAACUGACGCUGAGGCGCGAAAGCAUGGGGAGCGAACG
RNAcentral lists this ribosomal RNA (207 nucleotides) under uncultured bacterium. RNAcentral describes it as "partial 16S ribosomal RNA". It matches the Rfam family "Bacterial small subunit ribosomal RNA", at positions 568 to 774 of the family's 1533-position model. The record is from RNAcentral.